UUUCAUCACAGCAUCCCCAGUGGCAAGCUCGGUGACCAGCACGGAAAAGUUGCUCAGUUGAUGGAGCACCAUGGAAAUUCACUGAAGGCUGCUAGCCAGGAGACUCAAGAAGGAAUUGUCAAAAAGGAGAACUAUCCAAACAUUGUCUUUGCAGCCUAAACAGGAAAGAAAACUCAUAGAGUUCCAAUUCUCAUGCAAGUCACUGGAAUUCAUCCAGCCUAAUUU
Molecule: long non-coding RNA, 225 nt
Organism: Physeter macrocephalus (sperm whale)
Lineage: Eukaryota; Metazoa; Chordata; Mammalia; Artiodactyla; Physeteridae
Exons: 3
Source: RefSeq, a predicted model, not a curated record